AUUGAACGCUGGCGGCAGGCCUAACACAUGCAAGUUGAGCGGUUGAGGUAGCUUGCUACCGAUGCAGCGGCGGACGGGUGAGUAAUACAUGGGAAUCUGCCUGGUAGUGGGGGACAACGUUUCGAAAGGAACGCUAAUACCGCAUACGCUCUACGGGGGACAGGGGGGGAUCUUCGGACCCCUCGCUAGCAGUUGAGCCAUGUCGGAUUAGCUUGUUGGUGAGGUAAAGCCGCACCAAGGCGACUAUCCGAAACUGGUCAGAGAGGAUGAGCAGUCACACUGGAACUGGGACACGGUCCAGACCCCUACGGGAGGCAGCAGUGGGGAAUAUUGGACAAUGGGCGCAAGCCUGAUCCAGCCAUGCCGCGUGUGUGAAGAAGGCCUUAGGGUUGUAAAGCACUUUCAGUGGGGAGAAAGGUUAUUCACCUAAUACGUGAGUAAAUUGAUGUUACCCACAGAAGAAGCACCGGCUAACUCCGUGCCAGCAGCCGCAGUAA
Molecule: ribosomal RNA, 497 nt
Filed under: uncultured bacterium
Lineage: Bacteria
Description: partial 16S ribosomal RNA
Rfam family: Bacterial small subunit ribosomal RNA
Source: RNAcentral